UGUAUGUACGGGCGAGAGGGCGGGGGAAUAGGGGGGGGGUUAGGGUUGUGCGGGUGGACUGGGCGUAAAGAGGGCGCAGGCGGUCGGUGAAGGUGAGUGUGAAAGCCCCCGGCGAAACUGGGGAGGGUCACUCGAUACUGAUCGACUCGAAGGCAGGAGAGGGAAGCGGAAUGCCCGGUGUAGUGGUGAAAUGCGUAGAUAUCGGGAGGAACACCAGUGGCGAAGGCGGCUUUCUGGCCUGCUCUUGACGCUGAGGCGCGAAAGCUAGGGUAGCAAACGGGAUUAGAUACCCGGGUAGUC
Molecule: ribosomal RNA, 300 nt
Filed under: uncultured Staphylothermus sp.
Lineage: Archaea; Thermoproteati; Thermoproteota; Thermoprotei; Desulfurococcales; Desulfurococcaceae
Description: partial 16S ribosomal RNA
Rfam family: Bacterial small subunit ribosomal RNA (bases 58-300)
Source: RNAcentral